This 253-nucleotide ribosomal RNA is filed under the name uncultured bacterium. RNAcentral describes it as "partial 16S ribosomal RNA". It matches the Rfam family "Bacterial small subunit ribosomal RNA", at positions 524 to 776 of the family's 1533-position model. The record is from RNAcentral.
GACGAACCGAGCGAACGUUGUUCGGAAUCACUGGGCUUAAAGGGCGCGUAGGCGGGCUGCCAAGUUUGGGGUGAAAUCCUCCGGCUCAACCGGGGAAGGGCCUCGAAUACUGGCGGUCUGGAGGGAGGUAGGGGCGUGCGGAACUGUAGGUGGAGCGGUGAAAUGCGUUGAUAUCGUAAGGAAGACCAGUGGCGAAGGCGGGUCUCUGGACAGUUCCUGACGCUGAGGCACGAAGGUCAGGGGAGCAAACGGG